CGCGGGGUGGAGCAGCGGUAGCUUGUCGGGCUCAUAACCCGAAGGUCGCAGGUUCGAGUCCUGCCCCCGCUACCA
RNAcentral lists this transfer RNA (75 nucleotides) under Candidatus Marinamargulisbacteria bacterium SCGC AG-343-D04. Its description in RNAcentral is "tRNA-Met". It matches the Rfam family "tRNA". Rfam says of the family: Transfer RNA (tRNA) molecules are approximately 80 nucleotides in length. Their secondary structure includes four short double-helical elements and three loops (D, anti-codon, and T loops). The record is from RNAcentral. Lineage: Bacteria; Bacillati; Candidatus Margulisiibacteriota; Candidatus Marinamargulisbacteria.